RNAcentral lists this ribosomal RNA (440 nucleotides) under uncultured bacterium. Its description in RNAcentral is "bacterial SSU rRNA". It matches the Rfam family "Bacterial small subunit ribosomal RNA", at positions 958 to 1399 of the family's 1533-position model. The record is from RNAcentral.
AACGCGAAGAACCUUACCAAGGCUUGACAUACACCGGAAACUGGCAGAGAUGUCAGCCCCCUUGUGGUCGGUGUACAGGUGGUGCAUGGUUGUCGUCAGCUCGUGUCGUGAGAUGUUGGGUUAAGUCCCGCAACGAGCGCAACCCUUGUCCUGUGUUGCCAGCGGGUUAUGCCGGGGACUCACGGGAGACUGCCGGGGUCAACUCGGAGGAAGGUGGGGACGACGUCAAAUCAUCAUGCCCCUUAUGUCUUGGGCUGCACACGUGCUACAAUGGCCGGUACAAUGAGCUGCGAUGUCGUGAGGCGGAGCGAAUCUCAAAAAGCCGGUCUCAGUUCGGAUUGGGGUCUGCAACUCGACCCCAUGAAGUCGGAGUCGCUAGUAAUCGCAGAUCAGCAUGCUGCGGUGAAUACGUUCCCGGGCCUUGUACACACCGACGCGUA